CACAUCACGCCGUGGGAUAGGUCUCCCCAAAUUGAGGCUGUGCUUGAGACGAUCAUGCGAUUGAAUGAUGAGCGCGUCAUGCUUGUCUUUCUGUUCGGCGCGAUCGGUGACUCGGAGCUCCGCAAUCCCCUGGGACACUGUUCCGCCCUCGAUAGCUCUGCGAUCGGCGUCUCGCCAUUGCUCACAACGAAUGGCUGCCUGUAGCAAGAUAUUGCGGGGAGAGGGCUAUCGAAUCCUCCAUUGAAACGUUUUGGAUCAGUUUCCCAGCUAAGGGGACCCUGUGGUGGUGUGCGUAGCGCACCAUGGCCCAGACCCUUCAGAUGGCGAUUCCUAACUUUGGUAACAACGUCCUGGAGUGUCUGAACGAGCAGCGUCUCCAGGGGCUCUACUGCGAUGUCUCCGUGGUCGUCAAGGGACACGCCUUCAAGGCUCACCGUGCCGUGCUUGCGGCCAGCAGCUCUUACUUCCGGGACCUGUUCAGCACUGGGGGAGGCGGCGGCUCCAAGACCCCCACAGUGGUGGAGCUCCCCCCGGCCGUCCAGCCCCAGAGCUUCCAGCAGAUCCUGGCCUUCUGCUACACAGGCCGCCUCAGCAUGACAGUGGGAGACCAGUUCCUCCUCAUGUACACCGCAGGCUUCCUGCAGAUCCAGCAGAUCAUGGAGAAGGGCACCGAGUUCUUCCUCAAGGUUUCCUCGCCCAGCUGUGACUCCCAGGGCCUGCAAGCUGAGGAGGCUCCGCCCUCCGAACCCCAGAGCCCCGUCACUCAAACCGUUGCCAUGGGGACUGGCAGUCGCCCCGCCUCCUGCCUUACCCCCCUUCCCCUCGUGUCGCGGGUGAAGACAGAGCAGCAGGGCAACCAAUCAGAAGCCUCGCCCUACUCGGUGGUGUGCACCCCUGUGGCCAAGCGCUUGUGGGAGGGCGGCAGCAGCCGAGACGGGGGUGGAGGGGGCUCAGGUGGAGGCGGAUCCAGGAAGGCCGCCCGCUUUUCCCAGGAGUCCGUGCGAGGGAGUGCCAUCCAGAGCUCGGGGGCACUGGCACUUGCCAUGGGGAUGGGGGCCAGCGGGGCGGGGAUAGGAUCAGGGGUCGGGGGUCACGGCAGCGGUUCCAACGGGAGUGUGGUCUCCAUGGGCAACGUGGCAUCGGAGGGCGCCAGCCCGGGCACGAUGAGCGCCUACACCAGUGACUCGCCUAUCAGUUACCAUGACGAGGAGGAAGAGGAGGAGGUGACGGAGGAGCAGACGGAGGAACAGUACAGGCAGAUCUGUAACAUGUACACCAUGUACAGCAUGCUCAACGUGGGCGCCGCAGCUGGUGAGCGUGUGGAGGCCCUACCGGACCACUCAGAGACCCGGGGUCGUAUGCGGGGUCGCCAGGACCUGUCGUCUCUCCCCGCUGAGCUCAUCACACAGAUAGGCAACCGCUGCCACCCCAAACUAUACGAGGAGGGGGACCCCGCAGAGAAACUAGAGCUUGUCUCAGGUACGUGUGUGUUCAUAUCUCGAGCCCAGCUGAUGAACUGUCAUGUGAGUGCAGGGACCAGGCACAAGGUGUUGCUCAGGAGGCUGCUGGCUGCCUUCUUCGACAGGAAUACUCUGGCUAACAGCUGUGGAACAGGAAUCCGCUCCUCCACUAACGACCCCAGCCGCAAGCCCCUGGACAACAGAGUGUUGCACGCAGUCAAAUUCUACAGCCAGAACUUCGCCACGAGCUUCAAGGAGAGCGAGAUGAACGCCAUCGCGGCGGACAUGUGCACCAACGCCCGCCGCGUCGUCCGCAAGAGCUGGAUCCCCAAGCUGAAGCUGCUCAUGGCCGAGGGCGACGCAUACUCCGCCUUCCUCCCCGACGCCAAGAUGGAGGCCGACGCCCUAGGGGCGGAGCCAACCUUUGAACCCAACUCCCUGGAGGGCGCCGAGACGGGUGGCUCGUCCGGCGAGUCGCUGCAGGGGGUGGGCAGCGACGGAGGCACUUUGUUUUAGAUGGGGAGGUGGAGUACAGAAGUGUUUAGAAGACGAUGAUGAUGAUGAUGAAUACCUAUAUUUCCCUGUACUCCUUUCUUCUCCUCUGGUGGUGUGGCCCAUCCCCCUGACCCUUUGGCCUUUUGAUCCUCCACCUCCGACAUGUGACUCUGAAACGUUGCUAGGGGAAACAGGGGUUGUUACCUGGAUGUUAAUCAGGAAGUUAUGCUUUAAUUUUGAAAGCGAGAGUCCAAGCAAUCGUAACUUCCAAUAUGGUUUCUGCUGUAUAUUAGUAUGGGGGUAGAGAAAGGGUGAUGGGUUUGUGGGGAUGCAGUAUUUUUUGGGGAUUAACCAAAUUCCUGCCUCACCAUAUCAAAACACAUUCCCCUGGUUUUGAAUGUAGAUGUCAGCAGCAUUGCACAAUGUGAGUCUGAACGAUUGUAUCCCAACCUCUUGAGGAAAAAGAAACCGACAGAAAGAUAACUACUCUAUGGAUAUGAGAGAGACUGUAGUUUCUCUCUAGAAUGAGAGAAAGAGAAAAGGGGAGAGGGGGAGCAAUAGAAAGACCCCUAACCCACCAACCCCACACCCUUCUGUGACCAGAACAAAAUGAUUAUGCCCUCAGUUUUAAUGUACUGUCUCUCUUCUUGUAGCUUUUCUGAUCACAGCUCGUUUCUCUGUUUGUAACAUGGAUCCAGAGAUGAGGACUACAGGUGUACAACCUGUAAUUGUAAAGAAAUCCAAGGGGAACAGAAAAAGACGGUCAUAUUUUUUUGAUUAUGUAUUUAUACAACUGUUGUUGUGUACAGAGAGAAAGAGAGGGAUUGGUUUUAAAUCUGUUGUUUUAUUGUAUUUUGAACAGCUGUUUUUGCAAAGAAAGUCCUGCUCCGAAAAAUAAGAUUUAAAAGCAAAUAAGUAAAAGUGCUAUUUUUGCAUAAAAAUAUGGUAUUGAUCAAGUGGUCAGAAAAGUCUUAACGUAGGGCCUUUUGAGUUUUUUGUUUUGACAAACUAUUGAACUGAAAAAUCUGUUUUUAAGACAGAACUGGGCACUUUCUACCUGCGGCAAUCCAAUAUAGCUUAUUAUCUUAUUCUUGUCCUUUUUCUCUAUGGAAAUUGUCAAGGAAGCCUACCUAUGUGGCUGUUCACAACGAUGACUGACUCUGUUAUGCUUGCUAGCGAGCUAGCGACGUUACUAUGCUAGCUAAACGGCUUACUCGGAAAUCACGGCUAAAUGUAAACAUGCACAGCUUGAAUCAACUGGUGGACUGCUGCAACUAUCGUGCUAGCUAGCUAACCCCUCUGUUGGUUAGUGACUUGCUCCGAAGCAGACUACUGACAUCAUUACACAUCAUGAGGUGGUGAUUCAAUGACCGGAAAACAUUUGGAAUAAUGGAAUGUGCCUUUUUUAAUCAACAUGGAUAUGCAGGGGUGGGUCCUGCUUAUGUUGAUGUUGGGAAGGAGGGAGUAGAAUGGGGUUUAAAAGGUGGCAGGUCGUUCAGCUUGAGACAGUUGUAACACACACACACACGUGUUCCAAAGAGAGAUGGGGUGAGGUCAGGGGGAUUGGCAUUCCGGUGGAGUAUGUUGGUGUGUUUUAAACAGUCUCCUAUAUGUGCGAGAGCAUUUGUGUUCAUUCCUUGAAUGUGACUGAAAAGUAUAUUUGUUCCUGUGCGAUUAAUGUGUGUGAGUGUGUGCUUUAGGUGGGUGUGUGUGAGUGUGUGUGCUUUAGGUGGGUGUGUGUGUGCUUUAGGUGGGUGUGUGUGAGUGUGUGUGAGUGCGCUUUAGGUGGGUGUGUGUGAGUGAGUGUGUGUCUUCCACCUGGUAGUGUUUUGGAUUGGUUUAAGACUCCCUCUGCUGGGACACUUGUCUUUGUGAACGAUGACCUACACCAUCUUCCAUACACCUUUGCAAUCCAAAAGAUGUGAGACACCUUCAGAUAGAAAAGUGAUGUAUAGAGCGGACACAAUUCACUUUUCUCCAUACGGCAGAGAAGCAGGUCCACUCUGCAUGACAUUUCUGUCCUGAUUGCUGUUGUUUAACUCUCUCUCACGCUUGGUAAAUCCAAAAUGGACAAUGGUGGAUAUGUUAAAGGGGAGGUGAAGCACCUUUUUAAAUGGGAUGAACCCAUGUUUCCUGCACCUUUGAUAAAGGGUUUUGAUAUGUUGUGUGGAGAAUCAACCCAAGGGAUGGCCUUCUUCAAAUACUUUUAAGCGGCAUCCUUCCUCUCUUUCAUUGAUGUAAGCACUUCAGGGAAGGGACUAAAGGAAGGGUGCAUUUACAGAGUAUUGGAACAUAGCCUGCGUCUCAGAUCUGUGGAUGUGGGAUGCACUGGGAUGACUCCUGUUGUAAAUAUUGGGACCGUUGAGCUGACUUUCUUUCUACGCUCGUCUAGCGAUUUCCUAUGUAGGGUGAUUGUGUAAAAGUGUGGAAGCGAUGAAAGAGAACCGUUUUUUAAUAUAUUUUUUAUUUUUUACUUGGUCUCGCGUGUUGUCGAGACGUCAUGGAGACUGAUGUGUGUGUGUGUGUGAGCUCCCAGCAUGCAUUUGGCCUACAGGUCAGAGGAGGAUGAUGGUUGCUUUGGUCUUAAAGUACUGGCCUAAUGUGCUACUGAGUUGGUGUGACUGAAGGGAGGGAGGAGGGGUCAUCUUUAGGGAGAGAGGUAUCAUGGCUGCAGACUGUCCAUCAGAAUAUUGUACAGAAAAAAAUAUUAUUUUUCAAAAUGUUUUUUCUUUUAUUGCUUAUGUUUUCUUUAAAGAAACAUGUACUGUAAAGACCUUAAAGAAAUGCUACUAAUUGAAGGUGGUGAAUGAUUUACCUACUUCUUGCUGAAGAAAAAAUUGAAAAGGAAAGAAAGAUAACUGUACGAUAGCUAGACAGAGCACCGAUAGCUAGACAGAGCACCGAUAGCUAGACAGAGCACCAAUAGCUAGACAGAGAACUGUAUAUAUUUUUUUCAUUGUUUGUGAUGAGGGUUCUAUGAGAGGUUCUUCCAGGGGGACUAGGGCACUGUACUGUCUCUUGGGGGAAUGAUUUUUGGGGAGGUGGGUGGGUAGUAGUGGGUGUGUGGCGCUAUAGAGGUCUGAAUUACAAACUUUGCACCUGUUAUUGAACCUAUACACCAGGGUCUGAUUUCACCCUGCUGAACAGAUCCCAUGAUAUUAUGGACACUGUCAGAUCCAGUCUUGUUCACCACCUGCUGUUCACAUGUGGUACUGGAGCCACCACCAGAUGACAGUAUUUCCCCCACAGACCAUAGUCAUUGACUGAGUUGGUUACUAAGUGAUCAAAGUUCAGUUUUGUGUGUUUUGGAGGGGGUUACUUCUCUCAGCUCUGAAGCACAAGACUAUAGGAACAGAAAGGAAUGUUUGUUUGUGUGAGACAGAACAGUUCAAGCUGAUUCAUCCUCCAUCCCUACAGGUAGAUGUCCCUCCUCCCCCAACACACACAUCUCAAGAGGAUGGACAAAGGCAGUGUCCAGUAUGGUGUAUAUAGGCUUGGAGAAGGACCUUUUUUCACAUAUACAUAUAUAAAUAUGAAUAUAUGUAUAGAUAUAUACUGUAUAUUAUACAUAGAGGCACUAAAGAAGUUGGAUUGUUAGUCGUGCACUCUCAGCAUGAGGUAUAUACCCACAAACGGCUUAUUGAAACCAGUGCAGUAGUGUCCCCAAUGUUUCUGCCCCUGCUCCUUGCCCUCUGUGACCCUGUAGUGCCAGUGCUCAUUCUGUUCUCAUUGUUUUCCAAGUGCCAAUAACUUUGUGAAACCCCUUAACUGUGACCCAAUAUUAUUCAAGGUAAUUGCACAUUAACUAUUGUAAAGAAAAAUCAUUAAGAUAAAUGUCAACAUGGAUUAAAAAAAACUAUCUUAAUAAAAGGUUUGUAACAAAUGA
This is an RNA transcript of Oncorhynchus tshawytscha (Chinook salmon), 5841 nucleotides long. It is a transcript of the gene named nucleus accumbens-associated protein 1-like, with no coding region annotated. The transcript has 9 exons. The record is from RefSeq and is a predicted model, not a curated record. Lineage: Eukaryota; Metazoa; Chordata; Actinopteri; Salmoniformes; Salmonidae.